RNAcentral lists this long non-coding RNA (384 nucleotides) under Brassica rapa (field mustard). RNAcentral's name for it is "long non-coding RNA (BRAP_LNC007166)". Lineage: Eukaryota; Viridiplantae; Streptophyta; Magnoliopsida; Brassicales; Brassicaceae. The record is from RNAcentral.
UGGAUUUUGGGGACAAAAUGGUAUUUUCAUCAAGAAGAUGUUGAGAAAGAGAAUAAGAAGAUGAAGUAGGGAAGUUGAGAUUGGCUCGAGGGCCUUUGAGACACAAGAGUGCAACAUCAUAAGCCCUAGCUGCUGCCUCAGCUGUUGAGUAAGAGCCUAACCAAAUCCUUGUCUUUUGAUUUGGUGCCCUAAUCUCAGAAACCCAUGAUCCCCAACUUCUCAUCCUCACUCCUUUGUACUUCUUAAUCUUACUCUUCUUGUUCUUGUUCUUGAUCUUAGGGGAAGAGGAAGAUAAUGAUGAAGAACGAUAUGGUGAAGACAGAGACAUUUCUUUCUUGCUGCUGGUUUGAAUCUUGGGUUCUUGUUUCACCAUGGUACUUAAUG